RNAcentral lists this ribosomal RNA (344 nucleotides) under uncultured Anaerovibrio sp. RNAcentral's name for it is "partial 16S ribosomal RNA". The record is from RNAcentral. Lineage: Bacteria; Bacillati; Bacillota; Negativicutes; Selenomonadales; Selenomonadaceae.
GGAGUCUGGGCCGUGUCUCAGUCCCAAUGUGGCCGUCCACCCUCUCAGGCCGGCUACCGAUCGUCGCCUUGGUGGGCCGUCGCCCCGCCAACAAGCUAAUCGGACGCGGGCCCAUCGGAGAGCGGAUCGUUAAAUCCUUUGGUGCUGAAAGCAUGCGCUUUCCGCACGUCAUUCGGUAUUAGCAUUCCUUUCGAAAUGUUGUCCCCAUCUGAAGGGCAGGUUGCCUACGCGUUACUCACCCGUUUGCCACUAGGCUAGGAAGAGCAAGCUCCUCUUCGCCCCGUUCGACUUGCAUGUGUUAAGCACGCCGCCAGCGUUCGUCCUCGAGCCAUGAUCAAACUACU